CGCGUAGAAUCUGCCUUCAGGUUCGGGACAACCACUGGAAACGGUGGCUAAUACCGAAUGUGCAGCAAUGUGAAAAAUUUAUUGCCUGAAGAUGAGCUCGCGUCUGAUUAGCUAGUAGGUGUGGUAAGAGCGCACCUAGGCGACGAUCAGUAGCUGGUCUGAGAGGAUGAUCAGCCACACUGGGACUGAGACACGGCCCAGACUCCUACGGGAGGCAGCAGUGGGGAAUUUUCCGCAAUGGGCGAAAGCCUGACGGAGCAAUACCGCGUGAGGGAGGAAGGCUCUUGGGUUGUAAACCUCUUUUCUCAAGGAAGAAAAAAAUGACGGUACUUGAGGAAUAAGCAUCGGCUAACUCCGUGCCAGCAGCCGCGGUAAUACGGAGGAUGCAAGCGUUAUCCGGAAUGAUUGGGCGUAAAGCGUCCGCAGGUGGCUAUGUAAGUCUGCUGUUAAAGAGUCUGGCUCAACCAGAUAAAGGCAGUGGAAACUACAUGGCUAGAGUGCGUUCGGGGCAGAGGGAAUUCCUGGUGUAGCGGUGAAAUGCGUAGAGAUCAGGAAGAACACCGGUGGCGAAAGCGCUCUGCUAGGCCGCAACUGACACUGANGGACGAAAGCUAGGGGAGCGAAAGGGAUUANAUACCCCUGUA
This 644-nucleotide ribosomal RNA is filed under the name Tolypothrix sp. HSN032. RNAcentral's name for it is "bacterial SSU rRNA". It matches the Rfam family "Bacterial small subunit ribosomal RNA", at positions 116 to 792 of the family's 1533-position model. Lineage: Bacteria; Bacillati; Cyanobacteriota; Cyanophyceae; Nostocales; Tolypothrichaceae. The record is from RNAcentral.